RNAcentral lists this ribosomal RNA (464 nucleotides) under uncultured bacterium. Its description in RNAcentral is "partial 16S ribosomal RNA". It matches the Rfam family "Bacterial small subunit ribosomal RNA", at positions 28 to 506 of the family's 1533-position model. The record is from RNAcentral.
GACGAACGCUGGCGGCGUGCUUAACACAUGCAAGUCGUACGGUAAGGCCCUUUCGGGGGUACACGAGUGGCGAACGGGUGAGUAACACGUGAGUAACCUGCCCACAACUUUGGGAUAACGCUAGGAAACUGGUGCUAAUACUGGAUAUGUGCUCCUGCUGCAUGGUGGGGGUUGGAAAGCUCCGGCGGUUGUGGAUGGACUCGCGGCCUAUCAGCUUGUUGGUGGGGUAGUGGCCUACCAAGGCGGCGACGGGUAGCCGGCCUGAGAGGGUGACCGGCCAAAUUGGGACUGAGGUAAGGCCCAGACCCCUGCGGGAGGCAGCAGGGGGGAAUAUUGCAAAAGGGGCGAAAGCCUGAUGCAGCAACGCCGGGUGCGGGAUGACGGCCUUCGGGUUGUAAACCGCUUUCAGCAGGGACGAAGCUUUUUGGGACGGUACCGGCAGAAGAAGCACCGGCUAACUACGU